CAGGGCUCGCUGGCUUUAUCUUUUCUUUAUUUUAUUUGGUUGGCAAGUGACGAAAAAGGGUAUGGCAGAGAAGAACUGAAGAACUCGUGAACCCCCUACAAAGGUUAAACAAGGAGAGAAGUGUGAAAAAUAUAUAUAUUAAUUAUAAAUCAACCAAAGGAAAAGAGACACCACAAAAGCAAAAGCAAAAGCAAAAGCAAAGGAAAGCUGUCAAUCUCUCCCUAUCUAUUAAAUACAUAACAAAAGGAACCACCAACUCCAAAGAACUCAAGUCCUCAAAAACCAUACUAGGUAGUCAAAGCAAGCAGAAAGUGGAAGCCUAAAAGAGAGAAGGGGUGAAGGAGGAGAAGAAGAGACACGAGGAGGAGGCAAAGGGGCUCCUCCCACAGACCUCUUGGUAUGUUUUCCCUCAAGAGCCCAUCUAAGCCUUAUGCUCAAGGCCACCUGCAGCCCAGCUCAUCCUUCUGAACCUACCAGGCGGCGCCGAUCAACAACAUCUAAUUUUAGAUAGGAUACUCUCAAUGUACUUUUGGGAGUCAACAUCUAAUUUUAAGCUUCCUUAUAGUCCAAUUUUUUUUUUCCAGGUUAUGCAAGGGAGAAGUACUUUUGGUGGUGAAAGGUCGAUCUUACAAUUUUAUACUCAGAAAUCACCGCUAUCUAAUGUACUCGAGAAUGAAAGAUGCCACGGUUGUCAUGAUUCAGAUUCUAAUCGUUGUUUCAUUCAUCAUCUUCAACGUGUGGUUCACCGUGACCUCAAGCUAGAGUUAUCAAGUUGUGGAGAGUCUGAGGUUAGGCAUGGAACCCAAGCUUGCUGCCAAGGAUGCAAUGUCGCGGUUUGCGAAAAAAUAUCCAGAUUUUGUUGGAGCUGUCUUUGCUGUUGACAAGAAUGGCUUGCAUGCAGGAGCUUGCCAUGGAUGGACCUUCCAAUACUCUGUGACAAGCCCAGACAUGGAGUAUGUGCAAGUAUUCACUGUUCUUCCUUGACAUUGCAAUAAAAAAAGGCUUAAUGAUGCUUCCACUGUUCCAAAUCUGAAGCUUUACUUCAAUUACAUUCAUUUUACCUUUCCAGAUUUUCGGUUACAUAAGCAUUCAAGCUUGUAAGUUCUCUUUGGCAUUGUUCCUUCGCACGCUUGGAAUUUCAAACCGUAUUCUAUUGGAUAUUUUAUUUUGAUAAGAUAUUAUGUGGGAUGUUAAUAGACCAA
Molecule: long non-coding RNA, 1202 nt
Organism: Macadamia integrifolia
Lineage: Eukaryota; Viridiplantae; Streptophyta; Magnoliopsida; Proteales; Proteaceae
Exons: 2
Source: RefSeq, a predicted model, not a curated record